UCUCGGUCGAUUCCGAAACUUCAGUACCACAAUAUUUCUCAGUGCCCUCUGACAAGGGCAGCGAAAACCCCAAGUGAAUAGGUCGCGUAUAUGCUGAGCAAUCUAAUGAAAUACAUCGAGAGAGCAGACGACGCAUAAUGAGGUCCCUCUCCACCGUCUCUCCACAACGCCUUGAUAACGUCAUGCCCAACAGCGCCAAUGAGAGCGCUUCUUCCUGCACAGCUGAUCGGUGGGGCCGCGGGGCAUCUGGAUGCGAGGCGGCCAGCAGACACCAAGCGUAAUGUCGGAAUCGUCGGAAUACGAAAGUGACGUCGCGUCGCUUCCAAGUGAUUCUGAGGACUACAGCUCCGAAGAAAUUGUGCUCGACGACGACCCUUAUUCCACAGACCCUCUACCACUUGACCCUGCUGCAGGUCGUGCUGCAGGUGAAGGUGCAGCCAGUGAAAGCGAGCCGUCCGAUAGCGACGACACUUUCAGAUGCCUCUGCACUCGCUGCAGUCCAGUGGAACCCGAUGAACGCCGGUGCUGCAGUUCUGUUGAUCGGGUGUCGGCUGUCUGUGAGGGUGCCGGGGUCAAUUGUAUCACCGAUCACCCACUCUUCAAUGACAUUUGUCUGCGGAGGGAGCUCCUGGUUGUUUAUGCACCAGUGUUUUGCCGGGAUGACCGUCGCAUGCGUGUUCUCGAGCCAUCUGACAAUAGACGUCUCCGAUACAGCGCGUAUUGCGCGUUCACAACAUGGAUUCAUGGAUACCUUGGGAUAAGAAACCGAAGGCAGAUUCCAGGAUGUGCUGUUCGAAGAAUCAGGACGUUGUUCCCGUCAGUUUCAUAUACGGGAUACUACGAGUAACACCAGGCAUAUCUCCCAUGUGUCAUAUAUUGUAACAUACUUUACUUUUCAUAACACCUUUCAAAUUCAACUCGUGCAGCAGGGUGUUUGCUCUAAUUAACGUGUCCAGAGGUUUUAUCUAAAACGAGUGCUACUUUUGAGCUACCUCACCA
Molecule: long non-coding RNA, 999 nt
Organism: Ornithodoros turicata
Lineage: Eukaryota; Metazoa; Arthropoda; Arachnida; Ixodida; Argasidae
Exons: 3
Source: RefSeq, a predicted model, not a curated record